Molecule: ribosomal RNA, 497 nt
Filed under: uncultured bacterium
Lineage: Bacteria
Description: partial 16S ribosomal RNA
Rfam family: Bacterial small subunit ribosomal RNA
Source: RNAcentral
GAUGAACGCUGGCGGCGUGCCUAAUACAUGCAAGUCGAGCGAACAGACGAGGAGCUUGCUCCUCUGACGUUAGCGGCGGACGGGUGAGUAACACGUGGAUAACCUACCUAUAAGACUGGGAUAACUUCGGGAAACCGGAGCUAAUACCGGAUAAUAUAUUGAACCGCAUGGUUCAAUAGUGAAAGACGGUUUUGCUGUCACUUAUAGAUGGAUCCGCGCCGCAUUAGCUAGUUGGUAAGGUAACGGCUUACCAAGGCAACGAUGCGUAGCCGACCUGAGAGGGUGAUCGGCUACACUGGAACUGAGACACGGUCCAGACUCCUACGGGAGGCAGCAGUAGGGAAUCUUCCGAAAUGGGCGAAAGCUUGACGGAGCAACGCAGCGUGAGUGAUGAAGGUCUUCGGAUCGUAAAACUCUGUUAUUAGGGAAGAACAAAUGUGUAAGUAACUAUGCACGUCUUGACGGUACCUAAUCAGAAAGCCACGGCUAACUACGUG